RNAcentral lists this ribosomal RNA (253 nucleotides) under uncultured bacterium. Its description in RNAcentral is "partial 16S ribosomal RNA". It matches the Rfam family "Bacterial small subunit ribosomal RNA", at positions 524 to 776 of the family's 1533-position model. The record is from RNAcentral.
UACGAAGGGGGCGAGCGUUGUUCGGAUUUACUGGGCGUAAAGGGCGCGCAGGCGGCUAUCCAAGUCAGGCGUGAAAGCCCCGGGCUUAACCUGGGAGGUGCGUCUGGGACUGGGUGGCUAGAGAUCGGGAGAGGAGAGUGGAAUUCCCAGUGUAGAGGUGAAAUUCGUAGAUAUUCGGAGGAACACCAGUGGCGAAGGCGGCUCACUGGUCCGGUACUGACGCUGAGGUGCGAAAGCGUGGGGAGCAAACAGG